AAGGAAGAUUAAUACAAGAUGGCAUCAUGAGUCCGCAUGUUCACAUGAUUAAAGGUAUUCCGGUAGACGAUGGGGAUGCGUUCCAUUAGAUAGUAGGCGGGGUAACGGCCCACCUAGUCUUCGAUGGAUAGGGGUUCUGAGAGGAAGGUCCCCCACAUUGGAACUGAGACACGGUCCAAACUCCUACGGGAGGCAGCAGUGAGGAAUAUUGGUCAAUGGGCGAGAGCCUGAACCAGCCAAGUAGCGUGAAGGAUGACUGCCCUAUGGGUUGUAAACUUCUUUUAUAAAGGAAUAAAGUCGGGUAUGGAUACCCGUUUGCAUGUACUUUAUGAAUAAGGAUCGGCUAACUCCGUGCCAGCAGCCGCGGUAAUACGGAGGAUCCGAGCGUUAUCCGGAUUUAUUGGGUUUAAAGGGAGCGUAGAUGGUUGUUUAAGUCAGUUGUGAAAGUUUGCGGCUCAACCGUAAAAUUGCAGUUGAUACUGGAUAUCUUGAGUGCAGUUGAGGCAGGCGGAAUUCGUGGUGUAGCGGUGAAAUGCUUAGACAUCACGAAGAACUCCGAUUGCGAAGGCAGCCUGCUAAGCUGCAACUGACAUUGAGGCUCGAAAGUGUGGGUAUCAAACAGGAUUAGAUACCCUGGUAGUCCACACGGUAAACGAUGAAUACUCGCUGUUUGCGAUAUACUGCAAGCGGCCAAGCGAAAGCGUUAAGUAUUCCACCUGGGGAGUACGCCGGCAACGGUGAAACUCAAAGGAAUUGACGGGGGCCCGCACAAGCGGAGGAACAUGCGGUUUAAUUCGAUGAUACGCGAGGAACCUUACCCGGGCUUAAAUUGCAGAUGAAUUACGGUGAAAGCCGUAAGCCGCAAGGCAUCUGUGAAGGUGCUGCAUGGUUGUCGUCAGCUCGUGCCGUGAGGUGUCGGCUUAAGUGCCAUAACGAGCGCAACCCUUGUUGUCAGUUACUAACAGGUUCCGCUGAGGACUCUGACAAGACUGCCAUCGUAAGAUGUGAGGAAGGUGGGGAUGACGUCAAAUCAGCACGGCCCUUACGUUCGGGGCUACACACGUGUUACAAUGGGGGGUACAGAGGGCCGCUACCACGCGAGUGGAUGCCAAUCCCCAAAACCUCUCUCAGUUCGGACUGGAGUCUGCAACCCGACUCCACGAAGCUGGAUUCGCUAGUAAUCGCGCAUCAGCCACGGCGCGGUGAAUACGUUCCCGGGCCUUGUACU
Molecule: ribosomal RNA, 1228 nt
Filed under: uncultured bacterium
Lineage: Bacteria
Description: bacterial SSU rRNA
Rfam family: Bacterial small subunit ribosomal RNA
Source: RNAcentral